GGACCAGUAGCACAAUGGAUAACAAAUCUAACUACACAUCAGAAGAUUCUAGGUUUGACUCUUGGCUGGUUCA
This is a non-coding RNA of Albula glossodonta (roundjaw bonefish), 73 nucleotides long. The record is from the annotation of a GenBank genome assembly. NCBI's taxonomy places the organism in Eukaryota, Metazoa, Chordata, Actinopteri, Albuliformes, Albulidae.